This 739-nucleotide ribosomal RNA is filed under the name uncultured bacterium. Its description in RNAcentral is "bacterial SSU rRNA". It matches the Rfam family "Bacterial small subunit ribosomal RNA", at positions 575 to 1316 of the family's 1533-position model. The record is from RNAcentral.
GCGGGUUUGUAAGUCAGUGGUGAAAGUCUGCAGCUCAACUGUAGAACUGCCAUUGAUACUGCAUACCUUGAGUAAUUAUGAAGUGGUUAGAAUAUGUAGUGUAGCGGUGAAAUGCAUAGAUAUUACAUAGAAUACCGAUUGCGAAGGCAGAUCACUAAUAAUUUACUGACGCUGAUGGACGAAAGCGUAGGUAGCGAACAGGAUUAGAUACCCUGGUAGUCUACGCCGUAAACGAUGGUUACUAGCUGUUUGGCUCGAUUGAGAGCUGAGUGGCUAAGCGAAAGUGAUAAGUAACCCACCUGGGGAGUACGUUCGCAAGAAUGAAACUCAAAGGAAUUGACGGGGGCCCGCACAAGCGGUGGAGCAUGUGGUUUAAUUCGAUGAUACGCGAGGAACCUUACCAGGGCUUAAAUGUAGCUUGACAGGGGUGGAAACACCUUUUCCUUCGGGCAAGUUACAAGGUGCUGCAUGGUUGUCGUCAGCUCGUGCCGUGAGGUGUCAGGUUAAGUCCUAUAACGAGCGCAACCCCUGUGGUUAGUUGCCAGCGAGUCAAGUCGGGAACUCUAACCAGACUGCCGGUGCAAACCGUGAGGAAGGUGGGGAUGACGUCAAAUCAUCACGGCCCUUACGUCCUGGGCCACACACGUGCUACAAUGGUAAGGACAGAGAGCAGCCACUGGGCGACCAGGAGCGAAUCUAUAAACCUUAUCACAGUUCGGAUCGGAGUCUGCAACUCGAC